AGGAAAAAAAAAUAAUAAUCGGUUCCUGGGAACCCCCCAAAAAAUAUUAAAAAAUCCACAAUUUUCGAAAAAAAAGCACAUUUGCACUACUGCAUCAAAAUAAGCACAUUUGCACUACUGCAUUCGAGAUACAACAAAAAUAAACAGUACCCUCCCGAGUUUCACGCGUAGUCCUAAAUUCUUACCAUCCCGAACUUCGAGCAUUAUCACCCAGAGUUUCACGCUGGUUUGACAAAUAUAGAUCACAUUUACUUACUGUCGGCGUCGAGUCAUUAGGGAGCUUUAAGAGAAGAUUAGACAGAUUUAUGGAUGGGGAUGAUAGGAGGAAACGGUCCAUCUUGACUAGUGGACAAGGCCUCCUGGAGGGCUGGAAGUCGAUUAUAAUACUCUUGCUGCAGCCAAAAGAGAGGGUCCUUCUCAAAGACAUCUGCUUCAUCCAGAUAGUUUUCCUCUCCCUUCAGAUUUGGUUCACAGCAAGAAAAUCAUGUGAUGCUGGUAAAGGUUAGCAGAAUGCUACACCUACUGAGGAACUGCCAUGAGCCAAAAAACCAAGCUCACAAUUUUCCUGUAACAAGUCAAGUACUGCACCAGAGCUAUAAGACUUUUUUUUUCUCAGGACUGGCAACAUUAUUAGAUUAUCCAGAGCCUGCAUGGUGUCCAGGGGCCCUCGCUGGUGGAUCACACCCAGAUACACCAAGGCAACCAGAUUUGGGAUUAGGAGCACCAAGAAGAUCACUUUCCUCCUGAAGAUGUAAUAAAAAUUUGUAA
Molecule: long non-coding RNA, 768 nt
Organism: Scylla paramamosain (green mud crab)
Lineage: Eukaryota; Metazoa; Arthropoda; Malacostraca; Decapoda; Portunidae
Exons: 4
Source: RefSeq, a predicted model, not a curated record